AACGAACGCUGGCGGCAUGCCUAACACAUGCAAGUCGAACGAGACCUUCGGGUCUAGUGGCGCACGGGUGCGUAACGCGUGGGAACCUGCCCUUAGGUUCGGAAUAACUCCCCGAAAGGGGUGCUAAUACCGGAUAAUGGCUUCUGACCAAAGAUUUAUCGCCUUUGGAUGGGCCCGCGUUGGAUUAGCUAGUUGGUAGGGUAAAAGCCUACCAAGGCGACGAUCCAUAGCUGGUCUGAGAGGAUGAUCAGCCACACUGGGACUGAGACACGGCCCAGACUCCUACGGGAGGCAGCAGUGGGGAAUAUUGGACAAUGGGCGAAAGCCUGAUCCAGCAAUGCCGCGUGAGUGAUGAAGGCCUUAGGGUUGUAAAGCUCUUUUAACCGGGAUGAUAAUGACAGUACCGGGAGAAUAAGCCCCGGCUAACUCCGUG
This 433-nucleotide ribosomal RNA is filed under the name uncultured bacterium. RNAcentral's name for it is "partial 16S ribosomal RNA". It matches the Rfam family "Bacterial small subunit ribosomal RNA", at positions 29 to 507 of the family's 1533-position model. The record is from RNAcentral.